UGCAUUCUAACUGUGUCCUGUGUGUUUAAGCUGCAGCUGUGAAUGGCUUCGACCGGCUCGAUCUUUGUAGUAGUAAGUUAAUACGCUACAAGCCCUGGAAUUCAACAGGUCACACUAGAAAAGCCCGGUGGAAUGAAACCCUUUAAACAGCCAAUCUUUGUCCUCAGACGUUCUCAUUUAGUCGGCUUGACCGGCAGAUCAAGGCUGUGCUUCUGUUAUGGCAACAAGUGCUGGGUCGAAACAGUAGGUUCAACGACCGGUCAAUGACCGGAACACAGGAGAGGGAGCGAGAGAAGGAGAGAGAGGAGAGAACGGAGAGAGAACACUGCUUUAGAAGGCAUAUCGUAAUUUAUUUUAGGAAAGAAACAGAAACAGCGGCUUCAUUUCCUCCAUCGCUCUCUCCUGAGAAGUAACGGUGGAUCCCUGGGUGAGGUGGCGUUACCCAAACCUUCACCGUGUCAUCAUCCUGUCCGCUGGUGCCCCUGCAUCCAGAUGAAUGCACACUGUAGAGACGCACGUCUGUGGACCAACUGCACCUUAAUGGACAGAGAGGGGAACUCGCUCAACAGCCAUUGUACGUGACUGCGGGUCAACUCUGUGUCUCUGCAUGCUGUCUACUGCUCACAGGUCAACUGGAUGCGGUGUCAGGCAGCCACAGACCCCCUGGAUGCGAGUCCCCUGGACACACCAACCAGACGAUGCCAUGUUGCCCUGCCUCGUCGUCCUGCAGCCCAGCAGGGGUGCCAGGGGCUGACUGGAACCCUAGACCCAACAUAUUGCAGUGCACUUCUUCUCACCGGAGUCCCAUGGGCACUGGGCGUCGUUGAUUAGCGAUUAGCGUCGACGGGGUUCACCUCAUGACUUGGGAAAUUGGAAAACAUCUUUCCAUAACAUUUUGGUCCUGAUUCUGGAGGCUGAUUUGAUUCAGAAACACAAACCUGAAACCUUAAAAUAAAGCCAGAAGAAAGAAACCUGUAAAUAUUACUAUGAUGUAAAUUACUAAACCACAACAGGUUUCUAUUAGGUCUGGCCCUCUCAGUCCCUCUCUCUCUCUCUGUUUCUCUUUCUGUUUCAGUCUCACUCUUUGUCUCUUCAACAGGGC
Esox lucius (northern pike) is the source of this 1102-nucleotide long non-coding RNA. The record is from Ensembl. NCBI's taxonomy places the organism in Eukaryota, Metazoa, Chordata, Actinopteri, Esociformes, Esocidae.